Molecule: unclassified non-coding RNA, 950 nt
Filed under: Hevea brasiliensis (rubber tree)
Lineage: Eukaryota; Viridiplantae; Streptophyta; Magnoliopsida; Malpighiales; Euphorbiaceae
Source: RNAcentral
UGGAUUCCAUCUUCAGCAUUUUACUUGGUGGUGCUCUUGUUCAUGGAGAAAGUGGUACUUACUGUUCAUUCAAUUUGUGGUCUGCUAUAGGUGAUGAAUUGGACAAAAUUAAAGAACCUUUUUUGAGAGCUCUUUUGUCAUUGCUCAACACUCUGUUCAAAGAUCAUGUAUGGGAAGGAAACAAAGCUAUGAAACUUUUUGAGUUGCUCGUCAAUAAGCUUUACAUAGGUGAAGCAAUAAACCAGAAUUGUUUGAAGAUUCUUCCUCUGAUUGUCAGCAUUCUUGUUCAACCUCUAUGUAGGAGAAGCAUCGUACCUGGUGAAUCUAGUGGCGACGUUGAACUUAAUAAUUCAGGUGAAAAUUGGAUACAGGAUACCAUUAAAGAUUGGCUUCAAAGGAUUCUAUUGUUCCCGCCUAUUGUUUCAUGGCAAACAGGACAAGAUAUGGAAGAAUGGUUCCAGCUGGUUAUUGCUUGUUAUCCUUUUAGUGCAAUGGGCAGUACUAAAUCAUUGAAGCUGGAGAGAGACAUAAGCCUUGAAGAGAGAGAACUCAUACUUGAUUUAUUUCGAAAGCAGAGACACAAUGCUAGUGUCUUGGCAGCAGGUAAUCAGUUGCAAAUGGCACAGAUGGUGCUGUCAAAGUUAAUGGUUAUUUCUGUUGGUUAUUGCGGGAAAGAUUUUACUGAGGAAGACUGGGAGUUUUUCUUUUUGCAAUUGAGGUCUUGGAUUCAGUCAGCUGUUGUGAUUAUGGAGGAAGUUGCAGAAAAUGUGAAUGAUCUUAUCACUGACAACUCUAGUUCUGAAAUUUCGGAUGUUCUUAGGAAUCUUGAGCAGCUUGUUUGGAUCUCAGACCUUGGUCCUAUAAAUGUUGCUAUUAAUGCGCUAGCAUCGUUUUCUUUGUUUUGUGGGGUCUUGAGACAUCAACAACCAGAUAUGAAUCCAAACCCCCUG